UUUAUUUACUUAUUUAUCUCUAUUUCAUCAUAAGUUUGUGCAUGUUUGUCUUUUGUGUGUAUUACACUGUUUGUAUCUCUGUGUUUUUUUCCUCCCUUCUGUCUUAGUUGUCAUGUUGUGUGGUGGGAGUGAGUGUUCUUGUUCCAUUCAUGUUUUUUGUUGAGACUCCAUCUGUCUAUUACUAUGUGUGUGCCCUCCAUAAUCUGUCUAAGUGUCAUGUUUGUUCUAUGAAUUGAUUAUACCUUAACCUCUAUGUUAUUAACUGAGCUUCUAUGUUCUACUUGAGCAUGUUGGUAGAGCACUGACGAGCUUUUCUCCUCUUUGUGCUCCUCCUUGCUGCAUACCAUCUCCCCAAUGUUGUCUUGUUUCUGCACUGUACUUUAGUACACUGUGAGCUGUAAACUACAUUCCUAAUCUUACAGUUAACCUGUGAGUUCAUCCUACAUAUUAUACAAUUGUUCUCCAUACAUGGAGACCUAUUGAAAAGAUAAAUUCUACAGGCCAGGGAUUUUAUGGCCUUUCUGCUACUUUAAUCCAUAGAUUUACCUUAUCUAAUGCUUUUCUAAAAAAAAGUAUGCCAUUUCGCCACCAGGGCUAGCAUUGAUGAACAUGACACUCUGGUAUUUUUUGUUGUCAUACCAUGAGUUGGCCUUAUCUAUUUUUUCUGGCCCUUUCUGUACUGUUCCAAGAUUUACUAGUGUAGCAAGCAGAUCCAAUUUGGAUCACUUUCUAUGAUGGCCUUGUAAUUAUCCCUGGCUUCUUUGUACACUCUAAUUCUGUCCUUUUGGUUGUAGCCAGAUAAUUGCAUGUGGUGGAUGAAGUGUUUUAUGUGUUUUUCCAAUUCCAUUGGGUCACAAAAAAAAAACAACCCACAAAGAUAUUAAGGUUAGUCAUUCUAAAUUAGUGGUCUCAGAGGUGGCAUCAUGCAUAGAGCCAACCACAUCCACCAGUGCUCUCCAUUGCUGGUGGUCCCAUGCCAGCCCUUCUGCAUCCUCCAAGGUGGUGUCGAACCUCUGGAGAUCUUCUCCAUCUGUCCCAAUCAGUUGCAGUCUAACCAUCACUGCAAACACAGCUGCAAUCAACGACACUUGCAGACUUGAUCCUGUCACUCCUGAUGAAAUCAGUGCCGCCCUGAAAAAGUUUGACAACCACAAAGCUCCGGAAUUUGCACUAUCACUGUGGAAAUGUAGAAAUGGGUGAAGAAAACCUGGUCCAGCAGCUCGCAUCAUCAGCCAUGUAUGGAUGUUAGAGUGGCUCCCAAGUGAUCAGACCUAGGGCUUCAUCCUCCCUUUCUGGAAACAAAAGGGCAUCCAACUCAUCUACAGCAACCACAGGGACAUCACCUUCCUGUCCAUCUUGGGGAAGCUCUUCAUAAAGAUACUGAAUCAUAAUAAAUCAAAUAUGGAUAUAUAAUAGUUCAUUAAUGUACAAAUGUACCAAAAUGAUUUUCAUUGAAAAUGGAUGUGAAAUCAUGAAAAAGAAAAGAAAUGAUAAAAUUAUUAAGGUUAGUCUUGAUUUUUCCCUCUGGUGCUACUUUUUGGUUUAAAUUUGCUCUGAUUUUAUGUCCUUUUCUAUAUUUUCCUUCUAUUUCUCAUCUGGAUCAACUUUCAAUGUUUAUUAAGUGGGCUACUCAAAUUUUUCCUUUUUUUUUAUGUUUUCAAUUUUUAAAGAUAUUCUACUUGGAUCCCCGACCUUUACACUGGCCACGAUACAUAGAAAAUUAUUGUUUGGGUAUCAAACAGUUUAUAUUAAAUGAAGACAUGUCUGGCCUACCAGCAGCCAGAGCACACCUGAGGAAAUUGCGAAACAUUCGUUACACAUUCAACACAAUGUUGAUAGUCGUCUUCUGGCGAGUUCUUAUUGCCCGAUCAGAUUUGGCUCGCAAUCUCUGGUACCUGAUUAUGGGGCUUGUGUCUAAAUUUGUCAAGAACUUUUGGAUAACUAGCACACUACGGCAUUAAUAUUAUUGAAGUAAAAAAACAAAUAAGAUUGAGAUGAACAAAAAAUGUAAAAAGCCUUGAUACACACAUGAAUACACACACUCAUACACACACACACACACUCAAGCAUGCUCAUGCGCACAAAUUUAAUAAAAAAUGCAGUAUUUUUUUUUUAUUUAAAGACUAAGCUUUACUUCUUCAUUACUCUGUUUUCAACAAUUCAGGCCAUCCUUGUAACAGAUUCUACAGGACCUGUUUGCAAUAUUCAACCUGUAAUGCCACACAGAUUGUUGCUUAAAUUCUUUCUUCAUCUCUCUCUCUACACAUUCUGUCCAUGACACAAUGUAACUGUUUGCUCUGCUACUACUAACUUAAUACAGCUACUACUAUUAUUACUACUAUUAUUCUCUAAGACCGUUUACAAUUAACAAUUUUUUUAAACCUGAAAAUUAUUGUUACUAAUUAAAAUGUAAAGAAAAAUGUUUGGUUUCUAUAAGAAUGAACAGAGACUUUACUCAGAAAAUGAUUAUAGAAUAAACAUAAACAAAAAAAAUAAAAGGUAAAAUGGUUGUAACUUCAAA
RNAcentral lists this long non-coding RNA (2521 nucleotides) under Octopus sinensis (East Asian common octopus). RNAcentral's name for it is "uncharacterized LOC115229020". The record is from RNAcentral. Lineage: Eukaryota; Metazoa; Mollusca; Cephalopoda; Octopoda; Octopodidae.